RNAcentral lists this ribosomal RNA (305 nucleotides) under uncultured bacterium. RNAcentral describes it as "bacterial SSU rRNA". It matches the Rfam family "Bacterial small subunit ribosomal RNA", at positions 337 to 635 of the family's 1533-position model. The record is from RNAcentral.
GCCUACGGGGGGCAGCAGUAGGGAAUUUUCGUCAAGGGGCGCAAGCCUGAACGAGCAAUGCCGCGUGAACGAGGAAGGUCUUCGGAUCGUAAAGUUCUGUUGAAGGGGAAAAAGAGCGGAGAGAGGAAAUGGUCUCCGAUUGAUAUUACCCUUCGAGGAAGUCACGGCUAACUACGUGCCAGCAGCCGCGGUAAUACGUAGGUGGCGAGCGUUAUCCGGAAUGAUUGGGCGUAAAGGGUGCGUAGGCGGCCUGCUAAGUCUGGAGUGAAAGGUACCGGCUCAACCGGUACAGGCUCUGGAAACUG